CCAGGAACCCCUGAAGAUGACAUGUGGUUGCUGGUGGUUACCUGCUACCAGCAUAUUCUUCUCAAGACUUCCAAAGUGUUAUACUUCACCUCAAAAGAAAAGCUGGAGCUGCAGCAGUCAUCCUGAGACCACGAGGGAAAAGCCAAGAGAUUCGAAGUGACUUUAGACCUGAAAUUACUGAGCCAAUGAAAUAAUGCCAGCUAGCACACCUCCAACACUUCUUGUGCCAGGUAUAAUGCUUACAGGUGGAGCCAUUUCUCAAUUAUGAAGAUUGCGGCAGAGACUGCUGGUUCAUCCUCAAGGUCUACUCUCCUCUUCUUCCAGUAACAACCAAAUCCUAAUUUUAUGGUGGGCACCUGGUACCUGAAAUAAAGGCUCCCAUUUCUCAGCCUCCCUUGAAACUUAUGUGUGACCACAUGACCAAGCUCUACUCAAUAAAAUCU
This is a long non-coding RNA of Lemur catta (Ring-tailed lemur), 443 nucleotides long. RefSeq lists it as uncharacterized. The transcript is spliced from 3 exons. Lineage: Eukaryota; Metazoa; Chordata; Mammalia; Primates; Lemuridae. The record is from RefSeq and is a predicted model, not a curated record.